This is a non-coding RNA of Triticum aestivum (bread wheat), 135 nucleotides long. NCBI's taxonomy places the organism in Eukaryota, Viridiplantae, Streptophyta, Magnoliopsida, Poales, Poaceae. The record is from Rfam.
CAACUACUCCCUCUGUCCCAAAUUUCUUGUCUUAGAUUUGUCUAGAUAUGGAUGUAUCUAAUACUAAAAUGUGACUUGAUACAUCCGUAUCUAGACAAAUCCAACACAAGAAUUUUGGGACGGAGGGAGUACUUU